UUUUGUCAAGCUACAAAGGGCUCACGGUGAAUACCUUGGCACGCAGAGGCGAUGAAGGACGUGACUACCUGCGAUAAGUCUCGGGGAGCGGGAAGUAAGCUUUGAUCCGGGAAUUUCCGAAUGGGGCAACCCUGGGGCAACCCAACGGCUAGCUGAAUCCAUAGGCUAGUUCGAGCCAACCCAGCGAACUGAAACAUCUUAGUAGCUGGAGGAAAGGAAAGUAAAAACGACUCCCUCAGUAGCGGCGAGCGAAGCGGGAUCAGCCUAAACCAACCAUUUCGAUGAUUGGGGUUGUGGGACAGCGACGUGGACCAGGAAUUCUAAAAGAAGCAUUUGAAUGAUGCACCAUAGAGGGUGAUAGUCCCGUAUUUGAAAGAUGAACUGGCCUAGCUGUAUCCCGAGUAGCACGGAGCACGUGAAAUUCCGUGUGAAUCCACGAGGACCACCUCGUAAGGCUAAGUACUACUGCGUGACCGAUAGCGUACAGUACCGCGAGGGAAAGGUGAAAAGAACCCCGGGAGGGGAGUGAAACAGAACAUGAAACCGUGAGCCUACAAGCAAUGGGAGCCCGACUGAUCGGGUGACCGUGUGCCUGUUGAAGAAUGAGCCGGCGACUUAUAGGCACUGGCAGGUUAAGAGGACAAUCUCGGAGCCACAGCGAAAGCGAGUCUGAAUAGGGCGAUGGUCAGUGUUUAUAGACCCGAACCCGGGUGAUCUAACCAUGGACAGGAUGAAGCUUGGGUGACACCAAGUGAAGGUCCGAACCGACUGAUGUUGAAAAAUCAGCGGAUGAGCUGUGGUUAGGGGUGAAAUGCCAAUCGAACCCGGAGCUAGCUGGUUCUCCCCGAAAUACAUUGAGGUGUAGCGUCUAGUGCUUAAGCAGGGGGGUAAAGCCACCGUUUCGGUGCGGGCUGCGAGAGCGGUACCAAAUCGAGACGAACUCUGAAUACCCUGUACGUAACUAGGCAGUCAGACUGUGGGGGAUAAGCUUCAUGGUCAAGAGGGAAACAGCCCAGACCGCCAGCUAAGGUCCUUGAAUCACUACUAAGUGGCAAAGGAUGUGGGAUUGCAUAGACAACCAGGAGGUUUGCCUGGAAGCAGCCAUCCUCGAAGGAGUGCGUAAUAGCUCACUGGUCGAGCGAUCCUGCGCCGAAAAUGAACGGGACUAAGUAGUGUACCGAAGCUGCGGAUUCUUUGAAUGGUAGGGGAGCGUUCCAUGUGGAUUGAAGCGCUAGCGAAAGCGGGCGUGGACUGCAUGGAAGUGAGAAUGUCGGCUUGAGUAGCGAAAACAUAGGUGAGAAUCCUAUGCCCCGAAACCCUAAGGGUUCCUCUGUCAAGCUCGUCUGCAGAGGGUUAGUCAGGACCUAAGGCGAGGCCGAAAGGCGUAGUCGAUGGACAACAGGUCAACAUUCCUGUACUGGCUGUUGUUUGGGCAGGUGGACGGAGAAGGCUAGGCGAUCCGGAUGUUGGUUACCGGUUCAAGCGUUCAAGGCGUUGAAGAGCGGUGAAAACGCUCUGAGCUGAGGCGUGAGUACGAGCUCUUACGAGAGCGAAGUCGCUGAUGUCAUGCUUCCUAGAAAAGACCUUAGUCCGUUAAGCAACAACUACCUGUACCCGAAACCGACACAGGUGGGGUGGUAGAGUAUACCAAGGGGCGCGAGUUAACUCUCUCUAAGGAACUCGGCAAAAUGGCCCCGUAACUUCGGGAGAAGGGGUGCCACCGUCAGGUGGUCGCAGUGAAGAGUCCCAGGCGACUGUUUACCAAAAACACAGGUCUCCGCUAAGUCGCAAGACGACGUAUGGGGGCUGACGCCUGCCCAGUGCCGGAAGGUUAAGGAAGCUGGUUAGCCUUGCGAAGCUAGCGACCGAAGCCCCGGUGAACGGCGGCCGUAACUAUAACGGUCCUAAGGUAGCGAAAU
Molecule: ribosomal RNA, 1919 nt
Filed under: Acidimicrobiaceae bacterium
Lineage: Bacteria; Bacillati; Actinomycetota; Acidimicrobiia; Acidimicrobiales; Acidimicrobiaceae
Description: partial 23S ribosomal RNA
Rfam family: Bacterial large subunit ribosomal RNA
Source: RNAcentral